Molecule: ribosomal RNA, 493 nt
Filed under: uncultured bacterium
Lineage: Bacteria
Description: partial 16S ribosomal RNA
Rfam family: Bacterial small subunit ribosomal RNA
Source: RNAcentral
GACGAACGCUGGCGGCGUGCUUAACACAUGCAAGUCGAACGGUGAAGCGCCUUCCUUUUUGGUGGGUGUGGAUGAGUGGCGAACGGGUGAGUAACACGUGAGUAACCUGCCCCCUUCUUCUGGAUAACCGCAUGAAAGUGUGGCUAAUACGGGAUAUUCUGGGUCUGUCGCAUGAUGGGUCUGGGAAAGAUAUUGUUUCGGUGGGGGAUGGGCUCGCGGCCUAUCAGCUUGUUGGUGGGGUGAUGGCCUACCAAGGCGGUGACGGGUAGCCGGCCUGAGGGGGUGGACGGUCACACUGGGACUGAGACACGGCCCAGACUCCUACGGGAGGCAGCAGUGGGGAAUAUUGCACAAUGGGCGCAAGCCUGAUGCAGCGACGCCGCGUGAGGGAUGGAGGCCUUCGGGUUGUGAACCUCCUUCGCCAGUGAAGCAGGCCUGCCUCGUUUGUGGGUGGGUUGACGGUAGCUGGAUAAGAAGCGCCGGCUAACUACGU